GCAGCCGCGGUAAUUCCAGCUCCAAUAGCGUAUAUUAAAGUUGUUGCAGUUAAAAAGCUCGUAGUUGAAUUUCGGGAUCAGUACGCUGGUCGUGCCUUUGGUAUGCACUGGUGUCACUGGUUCCUCCCUUCUGAAGAACUGUCAUGCCAUUAAUUUGGUGUGGCGGGGAAUCAGGACUGUUACUUUGAAAAAAUUAGAGUGUUUAAAGCAGGCUCGCGCUUGAAUACAUUAGCAUGGAAUAAUGAAAUAGGACGUUUGAUCCUAUUUUGUUGGUUUCUAGGAUCGACGUAAUGAUUAAUAGGGAUAGUUGGGGCAUUAGUAUUCAAUUGUCAGAGGUGAAAUUCUUGGAUUUAUUGAAGACUAACUACUGCGAAAGCAUUUGCCAAGGAUGUUUUCAUUAAUCAAGACGAAAGUUAGGGGAUCGAAGACGAUCAGAUACCGUCGUAGUCUUAACCAUAAACUAUGCCGACUAGGGAUCGGAUGAUGUAAUUUUUUAAUG
This 499-nucleotide ribosomal RNA is filed under the name uncultured Glomeraceae. RNAcentral describes it as "SSU rRNA". It matches the Rfam family "Eukaryotic small subunit ribosomal RNA", at positions 570 to 1074 of the family's 1831-position model. The record is from RNAcentral. Lineage: Eukaryota; Fungi; Glomeromycota; Glomeromycetes; Glomerales; Glomeraceae.